GUUGAGUUGAGUUUAUGAGGGAAAAAAUGACACAAAAUUCUUCCACUAUGUGACAUGCUGUACAGAAAGACAGAGAGCAGAGAAUGUUUACCAGUUCACCAUGUAGUAAGCCAAAGCGCUUUCUGGACACUGAGGUGCUGUUCCAUGAUGACAAUACAACCUGGAUUCUUGAAGAAAGAAAGACCUUGUUUGGUUGUGACAGUUACACUGUUAUACAGUAGAUGGGCGUUAGUGAACAUUUAACCUGCCCUCAGUAGCACGCAGCAGGACUUACUCGCUGAUGCAUUUUUAGUAGCUAAAAUGAAGUAACUAUUUUCUUAAGAAAAUGUAUGUCUGCUGUGAAAGCUGCUGUGCAUAUUAACUUUGGAAGUGUCUAACAGAUGUUAAUCCCAUAAUAGAAAAUGUUUUAUACACGUUAUUGCACUUUUAGCAUUAUACUGUAGAACUGAAAGAGAUAUUUUCAAGGUGAGAAUGUUUUGUCUUGCAGUGUGAUCUGAAUUUGGAGGGAACUUGUAUUUUUUCAAAAAGGUUAAUGAGAGUAUUCACCAACUGGAAGGUCGAUAUGAACAUGAUAAGGUACUGAACAUGUGUCAUGUUGAUUGUAUUUUUGUCAAAACUCAGAUGAUAUUCUUACACCAAAUCACUUGAAAUGUAAUCUGUGUUUGUAUCUAGCACUGCCAGUCUCUUAUUGGCUUGCCAAAUUGAUUUUAUUUUUGCUUACAACAUUGGGAGGAAAAUAACAUUGAACAUAAUAUUUUCUGGAUGGCUUGGGCAGGUUGCACAAUGAUAAUUAUUAAAAAUGUAAAUAUUAAAGAUAUUAACAUGACAUUUGCCUUAUCAAAUGUUUUGUCUUCAGACAACAGACUCAUGCAGUAGUCGUAAUAACCGGUUUAAGAUCACGGUAUACUGAGGUAUUCAGAGAAUAUGAACCCCCAAAACUCUUAGGUCUUAUAGCCUAUUGUACAGUAUUGAAUUUAAAUCAUAUGUUAUUGCGUCAGUUUAAUAAUUGUACUACUAUGUGGAUGACAGUUGAAUAAUAUGGUUGACUGUGUUGGAAUCUUCAAAACCCUUUAUCUUGUGCCAGUUCUGAUAACCUUCUCUUCAUGCUGACCAAAAAGUACAACAUGUAGCCUCAUCACAGCUCCAAGUAUUCUUUUUGAACAUUCCUAUUGAUUGCUUUGACCUGUUACAUUUCAUUCUAUUAUCUGAGAAGGGAAUCCAACUUUACAGGCUCAAACCAAAUGAGGCAAACUUUCAAUACAAAAAAACAUUAAAUGUUUCUUUAGUUUAAAGCUUCACCUUCUUAAAGGGCAUUUUCUAUUCCAUGUCUCUACAUUUUCAACUGGGAAGGUGGGUAGUAAUAACAUUGGUGUAUCUGAA
This 1380-nucleotide long non-coding RNA is filed under the name Salmo salar (Atlantic salmon). Its description in RNAcentral is "lncRNA (ENSSSAG00000115305.1)". Lineage: Eukaryota; Metazoa; Chordata; Actinopteri; Salmoniformes; Salmonidae. The record is from RNAcentral.